GGAUCGGGUAGGCUGCGUGUGGGCUCUGGGAGACUGAGAAGGACCCCAGUGUCUGGGGUACUUCACUGUGCUGGGUGGCUGAGGAGCAAUGAAAUCAAGCGGCCAGGGCCCAAGGAGAGGGUAGCUCCAGGGGCUGCUGAGGGGAUCGGGAGGAAGGGCUGAGAGACGGGGUCAGAGCAGAUGGUCACCAGGCCGCACGGAGCCCUGGCGGAGACCCUCUGCCGCUGCCUGGCAGCACAUUCAGGCUCAGAGCCCAAGUGGAAGAAGGAAUGUGGGUGCACUCAGCACAGGCGCAUCGAUUUGGGGGUGGUUGGGGUGCCUCUAAUUCUCUGUCCCAAAUGGCCUCACCUCAGGGAGGGGUCAUGGCUGUGCCUUCAGCAUCUGAUGGGCGUUUCCAGCCUGCCUGGGUGGCCCAGGGGCCAGAGAGUUUGACAGGUUCUCUGGGGAUGGAUUGCUUUUGGUUUCUCAGAGGCAGGACUCUGGUCGGAAUCUUGGCCUCACAACUGCCAAGCCCCGCCCCCCACCCAGGUCACUGUCCUGCGGCAAAGGGGCUGAUGGUCAGGAAUGGAGCGCCUAACAGUGGUGCUGGCUCCUCUGGGCGACUGUGCAAAUCGCCAGGCUUUGUGCUUCAAGACCCUCCCCCAAAUUCCCUCUCUCUUUCCUUUGGGGCCUCGUUUUCCUGUCCCCAAGCCCUGUUUCAGGGAGCAGACUUAAAGGUGGUUCUCGGGAAUUAAAGUAGGGUAAUCGAUUGAAAGGAUGCUCUCAUGGCACAUGUGGGUGGAGAAAACAGAGGGUUGAAGGCAUUACGUUGUGGUGGGGGGUGCGUGCUGGGAGUCUUUGAGAGAAUUCACCCCUCUCUCUGGGCACUUCACUUGGCUUAGAAGGUGAGGAGGAAUUCUAUCAAGCUGGCAGCUGCCCAAGGCCAGGAGAGCCCUGGGGGGCUGCUGAGGGAAACCGGAGGAAAGGCUGAGAGUCAGUGUUAGAGGAGACGGCCUCCGGAAGGGGCCAGAGCACAGACAAAGCCCAUCUGAAGCCCCCUGGCUGCACCUCUAGGCUACGAGGUGGUGCCAAGAGGGGUUAGUGGGAGCCCCAGGAUGUGUUAAGAUGGCUCACAGGGCACCACUGACUCUCUGGCACCAAUCGACUGACCUCAGGGAGCAGAAAGACAUUGCUUUCUGCAUCUGAUGGGUAGUUCCAUCCGGCUCUGGCUGCCCAGGGGCCAGAGAGGUGGACAUGUUCUCUGGGGUUGGUUUGCUCUUAGUUUCUCAGGGGGCAGGGACACUGGACCCACAAUAUCUGCUUGAAUCUUGGCCUCGCAAUUACCAAUCCUGCAGCUUCUGUAAAGUCAUCACAUGUCCAACGGGGCUGGUGGUCAUGAAUGGAGCUUGUGAAAGUGGUGCUAUUUUGAGGGGGCAGACAGGAACCCCUGUGCUUUAUCUUUCAGGAGUUCUCCCCGGAUUCUUUCUUCCCCUUCCAUCUGAACCUCUAUGUCCUGUCUGCAAUCGCUGUUUCAAGGAGCAGAACUAAGGGAAGGGCCUGAGAGGGAAGGCAGCUGGGACUGAUUUAAAGAAGCGCCCAGAAACACGCUACGGGCUGGGGUGUGACAAUCUCAGAGCCGGAACUCACCCCACACCCUGAAAUCAACAACCCCACUUGCCACCCUCCUUUUAAGUCAGGACAGCAGGCUUUGAAUCAGCAGCCUUCCUCCCCAGGACUCUGCACUGGCCUGGGCCACUUGCCAGCCUGAUGUCCUUGCUCCUCCCCCUCCCAGGUGCACUGAGAUACACUAUGGGCAGGGGUAUGACUCUCACAGUCGGCCAGGACCCUCACCCCACACGACACCACCCCACACCCUGAAAACAAAGACCCUGCUUUCAAUCAGCACCCUCCAGCCUUUUGACCCAGCUUGAAAGCAAGCACCACCCAACAUUUGUUCAUGGUACCUGUUUGUAAGUGUCUUCCUUUAACAGGUGUCUGGCAGAGGAAGAAGAGGCUCAGGUGGGAGGGAAGAAAAAGCUUGAAGAAAUACAACAGUUAUGAGCUCAGCAGGUCCCCCCAAGACCCCUGGUUUGACACAGUGCAUUCACUACCCGAAGGCCAGCUUUCUAGAGCUCAACUCCAUGUGGAACAGACCGGUUGUGGCAAACUGCAUGGCCAAAAAAUAAUCCAUGUAUUUCUGGGUCCAGAGUUGAGCCUCCAAACAAAGGGGACAGUCUGUCAACUCUCUAGCCACUGGGCCAACUGGCCUUUCAGGAAUUGAACCAUAGAUGUGAUGUAAGAAUUAUUUCCCCUCCCUCAGAGGAGGAAAAUUUGGCCAGAGAGUCCGAGGUACCACAUACCAAAACAGAAGGCUCUGGGAACCUCCUUGGGAUGCUAAAGACCCAUCUCCAACCUUGCCUCUCAGCCUGAAGAUGAAGUCUGGGAGCUGCAGGGAGGGGCGCCAACGGUGCUCUGCCGCCAUCCGGUGGCCAUCUGCUCUAACAGCAACUCCCAGCCCUUCCUGUCUCCCACAGCAGAACCCUGGUCUGCAGUGGCCUGGGGACCUUAGCAGUACUGGGGUGUAUUGCGUGCAGAGCAGUACCCACAGCAAGCACACAAGUUUUUCAGUUGUUUCCUGGGCACCAGGGACUCUCUGCUCCCAGAUUCCUCAUGUCAGGCAGAGGACACGUGUCCUUUCAGGAUUUUGAGAUGGAUUCACAACCUGGUUGGGUGGCAGUGUGUUUAGAAUGCUUGAAGGAUCCACUGGGUUUCAGAAUGCCUUGUGUUCCUCCAGAGGCAGGGGCUGAGACCCACGGAGCAUUUGUG
Molecule: long non-coding RNA, 2805 nt
Filed under: Sus scrofa (pig)
Lineage: Eukaryota; Metazoa; Chordata; Mammalia; Artiodactyla; Suidae
Source: RNAcentral